GAGAUCUGUAAAGUUACAUCGCUAAAGCAGCUAAAGACGCUGUAAAAACCUUUUAUCGAUGAAUUUUACAUUGGAAUAUCAAAGCUGGGACACUUCGCCAGAAAUAUGUGUUUACAGAAGAAUAUUUCUUACACUUUAUGGCUAUAAAGAUGUAACAUUGCUAACAUUGUUAGUGUUUUUCGAGACAAACGGAAUAUGAGUGUUUCUCGAGACAAGCGGUUUAUAUGCCAGGUCCAGUGUGUAAAUAAAGAACAAAUG
Non-coding RNA from Paramuricea clavata, 258 nucleotides. Lineage: Eukaryota; Metazoa; Cnidaria; Anthozoa; Malacalcyonacea; Plexauridae. The record is from the annotation of a GenBank genome assembly.